Molecule: long non-coding RNA, 345 nt
Organism: Mesocricetus auratus (golden hamster)
Lineage: Eukaryota; Metazoa; Chordata; Mammalia; Rodentia; Cricetidae
Exons: 2
Source: RefSeq, a predicted model, not a curated record
UCCGAGAUCUUGCCCAGGGCCCGGAGCUCAAUUCUGGAACAGGACAAAAAGGAAUCAAGAGAACUAUGAUCAGCAUUCUCCAGGGGUUCCAGGAACCCAGUUUCAAAGACAACAGCUUCAGGAUGAGACUCAGAUGAUGAUGAAUCAGUGGAGGACAGAACCACGCCCUGAGGAAGGCAGAACUGCACCUUGACCAGGACUGCUCAGACAUGCAUAUCUCAUCCCUCUAGGUAAACUUUGGUCUUCAGGACUUCAAAUAUGGACUUGGCAAAUUUGCGGGAUCUCUUUGUUCUCCUCAAACUUCACAAUGUGACCUGAAUAAAAUAAAUCUUUUUUUCUGCUUUC